UCCUGGUUAGUUCAGUCAGUAGAACAUGAGACUCUUAAUCUCAGGGUCGUGAGUUCAAGUCCCACACUGGGCA
Ailuropoda melanoleuca (giant panda) is the source of this 73-nucleotide non-coding RNA. NCBI's taxonomy places the organism in Eukaryota, Metazoa, Chordata, Mammalia, Carnivora, Ursidae. The record is from Rfam.